GAUGAACGUUGGCGGUGUGCCUAAUACAUGCAAGUCGAACGGAGACAGUAGCAAUAUUGUCUUAGUGGCGAACGGGUGAGUAACGCGUUGGUGACCUGCCCCGAAGUGUGGAAUAACAGUUCGAAAGAAUUGCUAAUACCGCAUGUGAUCUUUGAGAUUAGAACCUCUUUGAUUAAAGGAUUUAUUCGCUUCGGGAGGGGCCUGCGUCCCAUCAGCUAGUUGGUAGGGUAAAAGCCUACCAAGGCUAUGACGGGUAGGGGACCUGAGAGGGUGGCCCCCCACAAUGGAACUGAAACACGGUCCAUACACCUACGGGUGGCAGCAGUAGGGAAUAUUAGUAAUGGGCGAAAGCCUGAACUAGCAACACCGCGUGUGCGAUGAAGGCCUUCGGGUCGUAAAGCACUUUUCGGGAGGAUGAGGAAGGACGGUACUCCCGGAAUAAGUCUCGGCUAACUACGUG
RNAcentral lists this ribosomal RNA (460 nucleotides) under uncultured bacterium. RNAcentral describes it as "bacterial SSU rRNA". It matches the Rfam family "Bacterial small subunit ribosomal RNA", at positions 28 to 507 of the family's 1533-position model. The record is from RNAcentral.